GUACUCGCUUUGGCAGCACAUAUAUUAAAAUUGGAAAGAUACAGAGAAGAUCAGCAUGGCCCCUGCACAAGGGUGACAUGCAAAUUCAUGAAGCAUUCCAUAUUUUU
This 107-nucleotide small nuclear RNA is filed under the name Mandrillus leucophaeus (drill). The record is from RNAcentral. Lineage: Eukaryota; Metazoa; Chordata; Mammalia; Primates; Cercopithecidae.